UUUACAUAUAAAAAAGCAUAAUUGUUGCAUUGUCACAACCACCAGGUUAAUCCCUGUGCAUUUAAUAGAUACAUAGCAAAAUUGUUCCGGGGAACAGAAGCGAGAAAAAGAUGCAUGGGAGACCUGAAUAGGGCAAUAGACCUAAUAUUGUACCGAAUAACCAAGGAGUUUUGGGAGGUCACUCGGACAAGGUUCAGACUCCAAGUGCUGUUAAACUAGAGCUAUUUACAGAAACCAUUCGUCUAAAACAUACAUUAACCGCGUACAGUUAAA
Molecule: long non-coding RNA, 273 nt
Filed under: Solanum tuberosum (potato)
Lineage: Eukaryota; Viridiplantae; Streptophyta; Magnoliopsida; Solanales; Solanaceae
Description: long non-coding RNA (STUB_LNC011469)
Source: RNAcentral